This 506-nucleotide ribosomal RNA is filed under the name uncultured soil bacterium. Its description in RNAcentral is "bacterial SSU rRNA". It matches the Rfam family "Bacterial small subunit ribosomal RNA", at positions 26 to 535 of the family's 1533-position model. The record is from RNAcentral.
AGAUUGAACGCUGGCGGCAGGCCUAACACAUGCAAGUCGAGCGGCAGCACGGGUACUUGUACCUGGUGGCGAGCGGCGGACGGGUGAGUAAUGCCUAGGAAUCUGCCUGGUAGUGGGGGAUAACGCUCGGAAACGGACGCUAAUACCGCAUACGUCCUACGGGAGAAAGCAGGGGACCUUCGGGCCUUGCGCUAUCAGAUGAGCCUAGGUCGGAUUAGCUAGUUGGUGAGGUAAUGGCUCACCAAGGCGACGAUCCGUAACUGGUCUGAGAGGAUGAUCAGUCACACUGGAACUGAGACACGGUCCAGACUCCUACGGGAGGCAGCAGUGGGGAAUAUUGGACAAUGGGCGAAAGCCUGAUCCAGCCAUGCCGCGUGUGUGAAGAGGUCUUCGGAUUGUAAAGCUACUUUAAGGUGGAGGAAGGCGAAGUAAAUUAAUACUUUGUCUUGUUUUGUACGUUUACCGACUAAGAAAGUAAGACCGACCCGGACUUAAACUCUUAGUCG